GCAUCCUGGGGCUGGAGUCGGUCCCAAGGGUUGGGCUGUUCGCCCAUUAAAGCGGUACGCGAGCUGGGUUUAGAACGUCGUGAGACAGUUCGGUCCCUAUCCUCUGUGCGCGUAGGAAUAUUGAGAAGGGCUGUCCCUAGUACGAGAGGACCGGGACGGACGAACCUCUGGUGUGCCAGUUGUCCUGCCAAGGGCAUGGCUGGUUGGCUACGUUCGGAAAGGAUAACCGCUGAAAGCAUCUAAGCGGGAAGCCUGCUUCGAGAUGAGUAUUCCCACCCCCUUUGAGGGGUUAAGGCUCCCAGUAGACGACUGGGUUGAUAGGCCAGAUCUGGAAGCCCGGUAACGGGUGGAGGUGACUGGUACUAAUAGGCCGAGGGCUUGUCCUCAGUUG
RNAcentral lists this ribosomal RNA (391 nucleotides) under Streptomyces sp. SID10116. Its description in RNAcentral is "partial 23S ribosomal RNA". It matches the Rfam family "Bacterial large subunit ribosomal RNA", at positions 2542 to 2925 of the family's 2925-position model. Lineage: Bacteria; Bacillati; Actinomycetota; Actinomycetes; Kitasatosporales; Streptomycetaceae. The record is from RNAcentral.